UCUAAGUUUUUUUUAUAGAAUUUUUGACUUUUCGUCUUAUUUGAAAAAAUUUUAUGAUUAAUAUUUUUAUUGUUACUAUGUGAUAGAACAUGAAUAGUACUUUACAUCUGACUAAUUUUUUUUAAUUUUUUAAUAAUUUUUUCAAAUAAGAUAGAUAGUCAAACGCUCCAUGCACGGAACUUAGA
This 185-nucleotide microRNA precursor is filed under the name Oryza brachyantha (malo sina). RNAcentral's name for it is "MIR812 microRNA precursor family". It matches the Rfam family "MIR812 microRNA precursor family". Lineage: Eukaryota; Viridiplantae; Streptophyta; Magnoliopsida; Poales; Poaceae. The record is from Rfam by way of RNAcentral.